RNAcentral lists this long non-coding RNA (887 nucleotides) under Triticum aestivum (bread wheat). RNAcentral's name for it is "long non-coding RNA (TAES_LNC004122)". Lineage: Eukaryota; Viridiplantae; Streptophyta; Magnoliopsida; Poales; Poaceae. The record is from RNAcentral.
UUCACACAAGUUGGUCGUCAUGGAAGAUCAUUCCUUGUGGACAUCCUAUCAAAACAGAUGUAGUGUCACUUGAUGCAAAAACAGAUUCUCAUAGUCCUUUGGAGGUAUUAUAAACUUCUGCGAACUUCUAACAAUUGAUCGCAUGAACUAAGUGUGAAAGAAAGUGCGACCUUUUUUUGCAAUUUGUGUGAAAAAAAUCACUAGACAAUCUAACAUCUAAAAUAAUUAGCUGCAUUUUUUUAUUUCUUUUGCUACAACCUGAGUGAGUACUGAAACAUGGAAAGAAGAGACUUUUUGGGCACUUUGACUUUGGCAACUUGUUUUUGCUGCAACCUGAAAAAAAUAGGAACAAGAUAAGAUUUUGUCAGGGGGAACUUAACAAGGUCUGGCGUUCGAAUGAUCUAGUGGGUUAUGUCCAAAUUUUUUUAGAGUUUUUAUGUAAAUAUGCAUCGAUCAGCAAAUAGCAGCAUUUUAAGCAACAAAAUUUUGAUAGCAAUCAUCUUUGUAAAAACAACAAACACAGUAGUGCAGCAGCAUGCACAUUCAUCUUUCUAAAUUUCUUCUCACUUCCUGUAAAUGCAAAACCAGAAUACAUAGCAGCAGCAACCCCACAUACACAUUCAUCUCUCAAAUCUCUCUCAAACUCGCUCACUUCCUGUAAUGCAAUAGGAUCGGGGGUCGGGAGCAGAGGUAUGAGCAAAGAACAAUUAAUUGGCAGAUGGAUUCGAAGUUGAGAUCAAACAAAACAAGUUAAGAUUAAAGAACAAUUGAUUGUUCCCCAGAUUGAAUGGAUGGAAACAAACAAACUAAAUCAAUUUGAUUAUUGAUUGCACUGCGGUAGCUACCUUUGUCGAGCUCGAGCUGUUCAUUGAGGGGCACCUUGGGCG